UACGUAGGGAGCGAGCGUUGUCCGGAAUUACUGGGUGUAAAGGGAGCGUAGGCGGGAUUUUAAGUCAGAUGUGAAAGGUAAGGGCUCAACCCUUGAACUGCAUUUGAAACUGAGAUUCUUGAGUGAAGUAGAGGUAAGCGGAAUUCCUAGUGUAGCGGUGAAAUGCGUAGAUAUUAGGAGGAACAUCGGUGGCGAAGGCGGCUUACUGGGCUUUUACUGACGCUGAGGCUCGAAAGCGUGGGGAGCAAACAGG
RNAcentral lists this ribosomal RNA (253 nucleotides) under uncultured bacterium. RNAcentral's name for it is "partial 16S ribosomal RNA". It matches the Rfam family "Bacterial small subunit ribosomal RNA", at positions 524 to 776 of the family's 1533-position model. The record is from RNAcentral.